AGUGAACGCUGGCGGUAGGCCUAACACAUGCGAGUCGAACGGCAGCACAGUAAGAGCUUGCUCUUACGGGUGGCGAGUGGCGGACGGGUGAGGAAUACAUCGGAAUCUACUUUUUCGUGGGGGAUAACGUAGGGAAACUUACGUUAAUACCGCAUACGACCUACGGGUGAAAGCAGGGGAUCUUCGGACCUUGCGCGAUUGAAUGAGCCGAUGUCGGAUUAGCUAGUUGGCGGGGUAAAGGCCCACCAAGGCGACGAUCCGUAGCUGGUCUGAGAGGAUGAUCAGCCACACUGGAACUGAGACACGGUCCAGACUCCUACGGGAGGCAGCAGUGGGGAAUAUUGGACAAUGGGCGCAAGCCUGAUCCAGCCAUACCGCGUGGGUGAAGAAGGCCUUCGGGUUGUAAAGCCCUUUUGUUGGGAAAGAAAAGCAGCAGGUUAAUACCCCGCUGUUCUGACGGUACCCAAAGAAUAAGCACCGGCUAACUUCGUG
This 492-nucleotide ribosomal RNA is filed under the name uncultured bacterium. Its description in RNAcentral is "partial 16S ribosomal RNA". It matches the Rfam family "Bacterial small subunit ribosomal RNA", at positions 29 to 507 of the family's 1533-position model. The record is from RNAcentral.